RNAcentral lists this ribosomal RNA (204 nucleotides) under Enterobacter hormaechei subsp. xiangfangensis. RNAcentral describes it as "partial 16S ribosomal RNA". It matches the Rfam family "Bacterial small subunit ribosomal RNA", at positions 1 to 210 of the family's 1533-position model. The record is from RNAcentral. Lineage: Bacteria; Pseudomonadati; Pseudomonadota; Gammaproteobacteria; Enterobacterales; Enterobacteriaceae.
UUAAAUUGAAGAGUUUGAUCAUGGCUCAGAUUGAACGCUGGCGGCAGGCCUAACACAUGCAAGUCGAACGGUAACAGGAAGCAGCUUGCUGCUUCGCUGACGAGUGGCGGACGGGUGAGUAAUGUCUGGGAAACUGCCUGAUGGAGGGGGAUAACUACUGGAAACGGUAGCUAAUACCGCAUAAUGUCGCAAGACCAAAGAGGG